AAUGAUGGCCACACUGUCUCCUCCAGAGACUCAGCGAAGUUGAAAUGUUUGUGAUGAUGCAAUCUCCCCGCGGAAAGACGGAAAGACCCCAUGAACCUUUACUGUAGCUUUACAUUGGACUUUGAACAGAUCUGAGUCGGAUAGGUGGGAGGCUUUGAAGUAAGGUCGCUAGAUCUUAUGGAGCCGACGUUGAAAUACCACCCUGGUGUGUUUGAGGUUCUAACCUUGGCCCGUGAUCCGGGUUGGGGACAGUGUAUGGUGGGCAGUUUGACUGGGGCGGUCU
RNAcentral lists this ribosomal RNA (283 nucleotides) under Klebsiella pneumoniae. RNAcentral describes it as "partial 23S ribosomal RNA". It matches the Rfam family "Bacterial large subunit ribosomal RNA", at positions 2003 to 2285 of the family's 2925-position model. The record is from RNAcentral. Lineage: Bacteria; Pseudomonadati; Pseudomonadota; Gammaproteobacteria; Enterobacterales; Enterobacteriaceae.